Molecule: ribosomal RNA, 497 nt
Filed under: uncultured bacterium
Lineage: Bacteria
Description: partial 16S ribosomal RNA
Rfam family: Bacterial small subunit ribosomal RNA
Source: RNAcentral
GACGAACGCUGGCGGCGUGCCUAAUACAUGCAAGUUGAGCGCUGAAGGUUGGUACUUGUACCAACUGGAUGAGCAGCGAACGGGUGAGUAACGCGUGGGGAAUCUGCCUUUGAGCGGGGGACAACAUUUGGAAACGAAUGCUAAUACCGCAUAAAAACUUUAAACACAAGUUUUAAGUUUGAAAGAUGCAAUUGCAUCACUCAAAGAUGAUCCCGCGUUGUAUUAGCUAGUUGGUGAGGUAAAGGCUCACCAAGGCGAUGAUACAUAGCCGACCUGAGAGGGUGAUCGGCCACAUUGGGACUGGGACCCGGCCCAAACUCCUACGGGAGGCAGCAGUAGGGAAUCUUCGGCCAUGGACGAAAGUCUGACCGAGCAACGCCGCGUGAGUGAAGAAGGUUUUCGGGUCGUAAAACUCUGUUGGUAGAGAAGAACGUUGGUGAGAGUGGAAAGCUCAUCAAGUGACGGUAACUACCCAGAAAGGGACGGCUAACUACGUG